Anoplopoma fimbria (sablefish) is the source of this 297-nucleotide long non-coding RNA. RefSeq lists it as uncharacterized. Lineage: Eukaryota; Metazoa; Chordata; Actinopteri; Perciformes; Anoplopomatidae. The transcript has 4 exons. The record is from RefSeq and is a predicted model, not a curated record.
CUUUCACUGAUGGAGCAGCAGAAGUUCCAGCUGGACAGUUGGUGAAACAGAGCUGUUUGACUUCAGCAGACAGAAACACAGACACAAGUUUCUAAACCAGAAGUUUGUCUCCAGUCGGUCUCUGAGGUUUCCAGCAGAGUGACAUCAUGGAGGACUCAUCAUCAUCUAAGACCAAGCCAGAUGAGCAACCUGAGAGGACCAGCAGCAGCGACACAGGUCGCACUGGGAGGAUUGUAGCUGGAGUCAGGUGGGCGGCGGUGAUGGAGGAGGAGUUGGAGGUGACGGGUUGCAGCAGCA